UUCUCUAGUUCAGAUUGAGGUCUGCAACUCGACCUCAUGAAGCUGGAAUCGCUAGUAAUCGCGCAUCAGCAAUGGCGCGGUGAAUACGUUCCCGGACCUUGUACACACCGCCCGUCAAGCCAUGGAAGCCGGGUGUACCUAAAGUCGGUAACCGCAAGGAGCCGCCUAGGGUAAAACUGGUAACUGGGGCUAAGUCGUAACAAGGUAACC
Molecule: ribosomal RNA, 210 nt
Filed under: uncultured bacterium
Lineage: Bacteria
Description: partial 16S ribosomal RNA
Rfam family: Bacterial small subunit ribosomal RNA
Source: RNAcentral